GUAUAUGAAGCAAAACGUGGCCGAACCAAGGAGCGAGCUUCAGAAAUGCUGAGAAGAAAACCUAGCAAGAUCGAGGUCAAGGUGGAAGACAAGGAAGAACUCGAAGGAGCUCGCAAAUCCACCUCCACUUCCACCACCACCACCACCACCACCUCCGCCACCUCCACUCCCACUGCAUCUACCACUCUCCUCCACCACUUCGACCGCGCCAAAGACCCCUCCGCCAAACCCCAACGCAUCGGCCUCUCCUCCUAAACCUCAACCCUAAUCCAAUCCCCAAUGGAGGUCGAGGUCAAGAUCCGCCUCCCAGAUUCCUCCACCCACCGCGCCGU
This 332-nucleotide long non-coding RNA is filed under the name Vitis vinifera (wine grape). Its description in RNAcentral is "long non-coding RNA (VVIN_LNC003447)". Lineage: Eukaryota; Viridiplantae; Streptophyta; Magnoliopsida; Vitales; Vitaceae. The record is from RNAcentral.